Molecule: ribosomal RNA, 480 nt
Filed under: uncultured bacterium
Lineage: Bacteria
Description: partial 16S ribosomal RNA
Rfam family: Bacterial small subunit ribosomal RNA
Source: RNAcentral
GACGAACGCUGGCGGCGUGCUCAACACAUGCAAGUCGAGCGGUAAGGCUCCUUCGGGAGUACACGAGCGGCGAACGGGUGAGUAACACGUGAGCAAUCUGCCCUUCUCAUCGGAAUAACCAUUGGAAACGAUGGCUAAUGCCGAAUACGACUUCAUUUCGCAUGUCAGGAAGUGGAAAGCUCCGGCGGAGAAGGAUGAGCUCGCGGCCUAUCAGCUUGUUGGCGGGGUAACGGCCCACCAAGGCAACGACGGGUAGCCGGCCUGAGAGGGUGACCGGCCACACGGGGACUGAGACACGGCCCAGACUCCUACGGGGGGCAGCAGUGGGGAAUAUUGGACAAUAGGCGAAAGCCUGAUUCAGCAACGCCGCGUGAGGGAUGACGGCCUUCGGGUUGUAAACCUCUUUCAGCAGGGACGAAGCGAAAGUGACGGUACCCGCAGAAGAAGGACCGGCCAACUACGUGCCAGCAGCCGCCGUAA